RNAcentral lists this ribosomal RNA (691 nucleotides) under Chaetothyriales sp. RNAcentral describes it as "bacterial SSU rRNA". It matches the Rfam family "Bacterial small subunit ribosomal RNA", at positions 471 to 1197 of the family's 1533-position model. The record is from RNAcentral. Lineage: Eukaryota; Fungi; Ascomycota; Eurotiomycetes; Chaetothyriales.
GACUAUUUUUUAUCUAUAAGUCUUGGCCAAAUUACGUGCCAGCAGUCGCGGUAAUACGUAAAAGACGAGUGUUAUUCAUCUUUAAUCGGUUUAAAGGGUACCUAGACGGAAAAUCAAGCUUAAUUAAACUAAGGACUAGUUUUCUAGAGUUUGACAUGAGAAGGUACGAACUAUCAGAGGAGAGAUAAAAUUUGUUGAUACUGGUGGGACGGACAACGGCGAAGGCAAUCUUCUACUAAAAACUGACGUUGAGGGACGAAGCCUUGGGGAGCGAGAAGGAUUAGAUACCCUAGUAGUCCUUGGAGAAAAUUAUGAGUGCCAUAGACUAAAGUGAAAAAGAAGUUCUUUUAAAAGAACUUUGUAUCUGAGCCUUAAUUGGAUACAAAGGUCUCGAGUAGCAGUUUAUAAAUGAAAGUGUAAGCAUUCCACCUCAUGACUAAAGCGGCAACGCCCAAAUUGAAAUCAUUAGACCGUUUCUGAAACCAGUAGUGAAGUAUGUUAUUUAAUUCGAUAACCCGCGAAUAACCUUACCACGUUUUGAAUUUAUUAAACAAGUGUUGCACGGCUGUCUUCAGUUAAUGUCGUGAGAUUUUGGUUUGUUCCAUUAAUUAACGAAAACCCUUGUUUCAUUUUUAUAUGAAAUAGUUCACCGUUAUAUUGGAAAUAAAAGGGAUCAAGACAAGUCAUCAUG